RNAcentral lists this transfer RNA (67 nucleotides) under Adelges tsugae (hemlock woolly adelgid). RNAcentral describes it as "tRNA-Ser". The record is from RNAcentral. Lineage: Eukaryota; Metazoa; Arthropoda; Insecta; Hemiptera; Adelgidae.
AGUUAAUUAAUUUAAGAUAAAAUAUUUAUUUUGAAAAUAAAAACUAGAAACUAAUUUCUAUUAACUU